This 440-nucleotide ribosomal RNA is filed under the name uncultured bacterium. RNAcentral describes it as "bacterial SSU rRNA". It matches the Rfam family "Bacterial small subunit ribosomal RNA", at positions 338 to 773 of the family's 1533-position model. The record is from RNAcentral.
CCUACGGGAGGCUGCAGUCGAGAAUCUUCGGCAAUGGGCGCAAGCCUGACCGAGCGACGCCGCGUGCGGGAUGAAGGCCUUCGGGUUGUAAACCGCUGUCGAGGGGAAUGAAGUGCGGGUGGGUUCUCCCAUCCGUUUGACAGAUCCCUGGAGGAAGCAUGGGCUAAGUUCGUGCCAGCAGCCGCGGUAAGACGAACCAUGCAAACGUUAUUCGGAUUCACUGGGCUUAAAGCGUGCGUAGGCGGUCUUGUUAGUCAGGUGUGAAAGCCCUCAGCCCAACUGAGGAAUUGCGCUUGAUACUGCAUGACUAGAGAAUGAUAGAGGUGGGUGGAACUGAUGGUGGAGCGGUGAAAUGCGUUGAUAUCAUCAGGAACACCAGUGGCGAAGGCGACCCACUGGGUCAUUUCUGACGCUGAGGUACGAAAGCUAGGGUAGCGAAC